This 63-nucleotide transfer RNA is filed under the name Evacanthus heimianus. Its description in RNAcentral is "tRNA-Glu". The record is from RNAcentral. Lineage: Eukaryota; Metazoa; Arthropoda; Insecta; Hemiptera; Cicadellidae.
AUUUAUAUAGUUUAAAAAAAAACACUUUAUUUUCAAUAAUGAAAUAGUAUACACUUAUAAGUU